Molecule: ribosomal RNA, 638 nt
Filed under: uncultured bacterium
Lineage: Bacteria
Description: bacterial SSU rRNA
Rfam family: Bacterial small subunit ribosomal RNA
Source: RNAcentral
ACGGGAUCGCAUGAUCUAGUGUGAAAAACUCCGGUGGUACAGGAUGGACCCGCGUCUGAUUAGCUGGUUGGUGAGGUAACGGCCCACCAAGGCAACGAUCAGUAGCCGGCCUGAGAGGGUGAACGGCCACAUUGGGACUGAGACACGGCCCAAACUCCUACGGGAGGCAGCAGUGGGGAAUAUUGCACAAUGGGGGAAACCCUGAUGCAGCGACGCCGCGUGAGUGAAGAAGUAUUUCGGUAUGUAAAGCUCUAUCAGCAGGGAAGAAAAUGACGGUACCUGACUAAGAAGCCCCGGCUAACUACGUGCCAGCAGCCGCGGUAAUACGUAGGGGGCAAGCGUUAUCCGGAUUUACUGGGUGUAAAGGGAGCGUAGACGGCAUGGCAAGUCUGAAGUGAAAUGCGGGGGCUCAACCCCUGAACUGCUUUGGAAACUGUCAGGCUGGAGUGCAGGAGAGGUAAGUGGAAUUCCUAGUGUAGCGGUGAAAUGCGUAGAUAUUAGGAGGAACACCAGUGGCGAAGGCGGCUUACUGGACUGUAACUGACGUUGAGGCUCGAAAGCGUGGGGAGCAAACAGGAUUAGAUACCCUGGUAGUCCACGCCGUAAACGAUGAUUACUAGGUGUUGGGGAUUAAUAAA